AGAACUCACGGACAGCUUCAAAAACAAAUUACAAAUCACCCAGCUCCUUUCACCAGCACCUCCAGGGCGCCAACGCCACAGCCGGCUGCAGCGAAACACUGGAGGAGCUUGAGAAGCGAGCCGCCCGACACACAAACAAACGGCUCCACAUGAAAGGCCCCUUCAAAUUUGCCCCCUCUGAGAACCAUGGGUAGAUACCGGCGUGAUGACUGUUUCCGGCCGCGGUGACGUUUUAGACAGGGGCUGCUGCUGGGAGGAAGGGGCUGAUCCUCCUCAAGCCGGGUCACUGUGCGGGAAGUUUAAAGAAACGGUGAGGUGAAAUUUGUACCGAUUUCGUCGAUUUGGGCGCUAAAGCGGAUAGGAGCUCCGAAUGGCGCUGCCUCACCGAACCUGGCGGCCGGUAGCGCGUCUCGUUAUGCAGGGUCCGGCCCGGAUAACGGCCGCACUGAGGGCCUGGUCUUCCAGUGCUGAAUCAAUAGAGGAGAGACAGAAACGCCUGAUGGCUCGGGGACUUCCAAAGCAAAAAAUGAUUCCAGGAGUGAAACAGGUUAUUGUUGUAGCCUCAGGAAAAGGUGGUGUUGGAAAAUCAACGACUGCAGUGAAUUUGGCUUUGGGAAUGGCUGCUAACAAUUUGCUUGUGGGUCUGCUUGAUGCAGAUGUGUAUGGUCCAUCUAUCCCAUGUAUGAUGAAUUUAAGAGGAAACCCAGAAUUGACAGACAGCAACUUGAUGAGACCCUUGGUAAACUUCGGGAUUGCCUGCAUGUCAAUGGGAUUUUUGGUAGAGGAAGGAACACCAGUUGUUUGGAGAGGUCUCAUGGUGAUGUCAGCAAUAGAAAGGCUAUUGAGACAGGUUGACUGGGGUCAACUAGACUACCUUGUUGUGGACAUGCCUCCUGGCACAGGGGAUGUGCAGCUUUCCAUCUCUCAAAACAUUCCUAUUUCAGGUGCAGUUAUUGUUUCUACUCCCCAAGACAUUGCUUUGUUGGAUGUAGAGAGAGCAGCAGAAAUGUUUCGAAAAGUUAAUGUUCCUGUUCUUGGUAUUGUACAAAACAUGAGUGUCUUCCAGUGUCCCAAUUGCAAACAUGAGACUCACAUCUUUGGAGCUGAUGGAGCAAGGGCAUUGGCAGCAAAACUUGCAUUAGAUGUCCUAGGUGAUAUUCCAUUACACUUAAACAUAAGGGAAACAUGUGAUAACGGCCAACCAGUUGUUGUCUCUCAUCCAGACAGCUCAGAGGGUGGUUGCUGUUGAAAUUCUGUACUUGGUCAGUGUGUCUGGCUUUCCUGUGUACCUUUUGUUAGGAAUUUCCCGUUGGUCCUGCAUUCUACCAUGACAUCCAGGAAUGGGAGCAGUUUGUUCUUUAGUGAAUCUGAUCCAGCUGAAGGCCAAGGCCUACUUAAGACUUACUGCGGAAGUAUUGAAAAGACUACCAACAUCUCUUGUGUGAGCAGUGGAAAGUUUAGGUCUACGGCAUCAGAUCCACUUCCAACACUCGUUUUUUUUUCCUCAAAGCUUUCUGAAAAUAGCUGCUAAAACAGAACACGAGAUAACAAGGUGUAGAGCUGGAUGAACACAGCAGCAUCAGAGGAGCAGGAAGGCUGACGUUUCAGGCCUGGAACCUCCUUCAGAAAUGGGUGGAGGGGUUCUGAAAUAAAUAGACAGAGAGGGGAGGUGGUUAGAAGAGAAGAUAGUGGAGAGGAGAUUGACUGACAGGUCAAAGAGGCAGGGGUGGAGCCAGUAGAGGUGAGUUUAGGUGGGGAGGUAGGGUGGAGAUAGAUCAGAUCAGUCCAGGAAGGAUGGUCAGGUCAAGGGGGAGGGAUGAAGUUAGGUAGGAGAUGGGGGCUGGGCUUGGGGUGGGAGGAGUGGAUGGUGGGAGGAAGGACAGGUUAGGGAGGCAGAGACAAGCUGGACUGGUUUUGGUAUGCGGUGGGGGAAGGGGAGAUCUUUUCCAUGCUGACACUGGUCCUAAACUCUACCUCUUCCUCCAGAUGACUAUAUCGAUGCUGCCUUGUGUUCCUACAAAGAGCUCGAACAGUUCAUCCACUUCACCAACACCUUCCACCACAACCUGAAGUUCACCUGGACCAUCUCCAAUACCCCUCUCUCCUUCCUGGACGCCUCUAUCUCCAUCUCUGGCAACUGCCGAGAAACUGAUAUCCAUUUCAAGCGCACCAACUCCCCCAGCUACCAAGAAUACACCUCCUCCCACCCAUCUCCCUGCAAAAAUGCCAUCCCCUGUUCCCAAUUCCUUCACCUCUGCUGCAUCUUCUCCCUGGAUAAGACAUUCCACUCCUAUACAUUUCGAAUGUCCUCAUUUUUCAAGGACCACAACUUCCCCUCCUCCGUGGUCGAGAACACCCUCGACUGUGUCUCCUGCAUUUCCCACAACUCAUCCCUCACACCCCCUCCCUGCAAUAACAACCAAAACAGAAUCCCCCUCGUACUCACGGACCACCCCACCAUCCUCCGGAUCCAACGCAUCACCCUCCGACACUACGGCAAUCUGCAAUCCGACUCCAAUCAGACUGGCCUAUCUCCUCCCUACCUCCCCAGCUACACUCACCUUUUACUGGCUCCAUCCCUGCCUCUUUUUUGACCUGCCUGUCUCCUCUCACCUAUCUUCUCCUUUUAUCCAUCUUCUAUCUGCCUCCC
Molecule: RNA transcript, 2650 nt
Organism: Stegostoma tigrinum
Lineage: Eukaryota; Metazoa; Chordata; Chondrichthyes; Orectolobiformes; Stegostomatidae
Gene: nubpl
Gene name: nucleotide binding protein-like
Exons: 12
Source: RefSeq, a predicted model, not a curated record